This 282-nucleotide ribosomal RNA is filed under the name uncultured prokaryote. RNAcentral's name for it is "partial 16S ribosomal RNA". It matches the Rfam family "Bacterial small subunit ribosomal RNA", at positions 355 to 633 of the family's 1533-position model. The record is from RNAcentral.
UAAGGAAUAUUGGUCAAUGGACGCAAGUCUGAACCAGCCAUGCCGCGUGAAGGAAGACGGCCCUACGGGUUGUAAACUUCUUUUGUACGAGAAAAAACCACCGGUCGUGAAUCGGUGCUGAUGGUACCGUAAGAAUAAGCAUCGGCUAACUCCGUGCCAGCAGCCGCGGUAAUACGGAGGAUGCAAGCGUUAUCCGGAUGCAUUGGGUUUAAAGGGUGCGCAGGCGGAAUGAUAAGUCAGUGGUGAAAUCCUACGGCUCAACUGUAGAACUGCCAUUGAUAC